UGUUGCAGGAAGGGAUGACGAGGGAGGAGGCUGUGUUCUUCAAGGAAUGCAAGGAUAGAGCUAUCAAGGAUUUCAUUGUUGGCGCUUUUGCUUCUUCAGCAUUGUUUGGAUUGUAUGUAUGCAAUGCAGCAUCUAGGAGCUUGGUUCCUUGGCAUAGGUUUAGCCUUUCCGCUGGUUCUGGUAUGUUGGUAGGAAUGUGCAGGGAGGUUUAAUCAUUCAUUGGAUGUUUUUUUUUUUUGGGAAAGAGGAGUGGGG
Molecule: long non-coding RNA, 255 nt
Organism: Dioscorea cayenensis subsp. rotundata (Guinea yam)
Lineage: Eukaryota; Viridiplantae; Streptophyta; Magnoliopsida; Dioscoreales; Dioscoreaceae
Exons: 3
Source: RefSeq, a predicted model, not a curated record